Molecule: long non-coding RNA, 2942 nt
Filed under: Lactuca sativa (garden lettuce)
Lineage: Eukaryota; Viridiplantae; Streptophyta; Magnoliopsida; Asterales; Asteraceae
Description: long non-coding RNA (LSAT_LNC010044)
Source: RNAcentral
UCCCCUAGUCUAUAUAGGUCCAAUCUCAUCUGCUAGCGCUUCUUCGUUGCUUGGUCGAGACACAUUCAUCAAUUUCUUUUCAGGCUUGCAAGUAACUUACUUCUUUUGCCCGUUCUUGCUAUCUUAAGUCGUCCUCUUUUCUUUAGAAGCUGUUAAUUUCUUUCCUGCCUGCCCUAAGGCUAAGGGGAGAACUGCAUGUACUAAUAGUCGGAUAGAAGCCUACCAGCCUACCUUGUUCAUAUCGAGCCGGACAGGAGAGACCCUCUUUCAAGUUAAGAGAAGCAAUUCCGCUUGAAAAUAGGCGCUGUAAAUCAAUUCAAAUAGAUAGGGGAGUUCCGAACCAGCAGCAAGCCCUUUCUAAUGUCCUAGGCGAAGGCAGUGCAGGUGAAAGCCCAAUAGAUCCCAUUUUUUUGAUCGCUCCACAUAGCUCACGACCCGGCACGAAGAAAUCUCUUAGAUGGGCGGAUGCGAAUCUGGAUCUAUCAACGGAGCAAUUCCAUUCCAGUCGUAGUCUCAAUCCCAUAUUCAAUGUGCCGUCUCCGCCGUGUCUGACCCCCUCAAUCUUUCUAUCCGGAGUGAGUCAGGCGGCUAAGCCUUUCAUCCUGAUAAAAGAAAGAGUUUUCCCACCCUCCAUAAAUGGAAUCGGUUUGAGUGAAUUACUUACCGCAGUCAAAGCCAAUAGGGAAAGUCAGGUCAAGAGAGAGUCUCUUUCCGAUUAGUGCAUCUCGCACUUCCAAUUCAUUCCGAGUUAGAAAAAGUAAGUUCCUUCCCGGGUAAAGUCCUCUUAAAUGGAUUACUAGUUCCUUCCUUCCCAAUCAAUGCUAACUCUAUCUUCCUCUCUUGUAAUUUAGGAGAUUUCCCCAGCCCAUAAAGAACUGUAGUUACAUACAGCUCUCAAAAGAUAAAAAGAGAAAGAGCUAUGACUUCAAGUAAGAAAGUGAAAGUUCAGUCCUCACCGCCAAAAAGAAGACAGCAACAAUCCGUACUACUUCUCUCAGUAAAUAACAUUCUCUUAGUUAGAGAGUAAGUAGAUAGACGGAUUAGUACUUUUACCCAGGGGUAGCCUUCCUUGUCGCCAAAGAAGAAUGAGAAUUGAUAAAGUUUUCUUGGGCUUCAAUAGCAGAAGCAAAGAAGUCAAAUCAAUGCAGCUUUCGUGCCCAGCCUAAAGAUCCUAUCCUCGCAGCAGCUGGAGCUCUUGAUGGCACGUUCAAGCGAGUUUAUGAAUGAAUGAAAUCAGUUGAAGGAGCGGCCAAGGACGAAAGCUUUGAUUGCGUUCUGCUAUGGUUGGCUUUUUUCCUUGCCUAAAACAACUAUCUUCUCUUCGCGAACGGUUAAGAAUCCUCUUUGUAUGCGCGUUCUCUCUUGUUUAUUCUUCUAGUUUUUCCUUCUUAUGCUUAUGGGUGAGACUCCCUUUCUUCUUAGGUUGUCUGUAAGUCUAGUUCGUGGUUCACGGGUGAGGUUACCUGGAUAGGUGGGCAGUUCCUAUCGGUGGAGCUAAGACACCUUCGAGAGAUAUAGCUCUAGCUCUUGAUGGCACGGGCAAGACAGUUCAUGAAUGAAUGGCGAGUUUUCUAUUUACUAGAAUAUCUUUCCUGCGAAGGAAGCUUCUUUUUAGAAUUUCUUGCGUGAAGAAAUUGAAUCAACGGCAUCGAAUGCAAGCUCUGAUAAAGUUUGAUUCUUCUUUAUGGACUACAACGACCUAAAGUAGCUAAAUAAGUAGUGAAAGUAAGCUCCUGGCUAAAAUGAGUCUUGGUUCUACCCACCGGCAAGAAUUUUUCGACCUGAUUAAAUGAUUGUAGAUUGGCUAUUUCGGGGUUCCAUGCCCAUGGAUUGCCUUAUUAUAGCUUUUUUGAUUCGUCGGGUAUGCCGGCUAAGAGAAUCGCUUCUCGCCUUGCUUGCAAGAGUAUAAGCAAGCCGUAGCAUUUUGACCCAGAUAGAACUCUUUCAAUUCAUGAGAGAAAGUGCUUUAGUAGCGAUUUCCCUGUUCUAGUGCAAGACGCAAGGAGAAGCACGAGCGGAGCGGUCUGGCUAAACGUGCAAUGCCCCGUAGGGAGAUCUAGCUUAUUGGUCUAGUGCUUCCGGGUGCUUGCCAGUUCUGAAUGACUGAACUUAGCUUGCCAUGUUCUUACAAGAAAGAAUCUCUUCUCCGAAUCGAAUCUACGCAUAUCGAAUUCAGUAAAGACUUGAAUAGAUGCCUUCCUUCAAAUAGAGUUCAUCCUGUUGAUGGUCUUUACUACACUAAGGCUAGAUCCGGACUAAUCCUAGCCUAUUCUUAUGAAGGAAGGUGAGCAUGAAGCAACGGCUAGAUCCUCACAGUAGGCAGCUUAGCUGUGAUUAUGAAGUCAGGUGAGAAGCGUUAUGCAAUAGAGAAGUCAGCUAGUGCACUUAGACAGGUAGUUGAUUUCAUUAGGGAAUUGAAUUGCAGGAAGGUCAGGUAGUCCUUAGGCCGUUGAGCGAAACUCUUGGCAUCCUCCUCUUAUGAGGGGAUAGGAGUGAAAGAAUCAUUAUAAAACUACGAGGUCGCCCCCACUUCUUAGAGCUCUCUUGCUACCUUAUAAUAGGUUCCUUAGACUAUAGGCAGAAAGGCCGAGGCAGAGCCAGCAAUUCUCUAAAAGCAAGGACGAUUAGCUACGUUCCANAUUGAGUGAAACUCUUGGCAUCCUCCUCUUAUGAGGGGAUAAGAGUGAAAGAAUCAUUAUAAAACUACGAGGUCGCCCCCACUUCUUAGAGCUCUCUUGCUACCUUAUAAUAGGUUCCUUAGACUAUAGGCAGAAAGGCCGAGGCAGAGCCAGCAAUUCUCUAAAAGCAAGGACGAUUAGCUACGUUCCAAUGAAGCACAUUCCAACAAUUACCUAGCCCGGUAGGUGGAGGAAAAAGGCGGAGAACAUUCUUUAAUCAAAGGCGCCAAUACCCAUAUCAGGAUUAGACCCAUUUCGAACGAG